This 276-nucleotide ribosomal RNA is filed under the name uncultured bacterium. RNAcentral describes it as "partial 16S ribosomal RNA". It matches the Rfam family "Bacterial small subunit ribosomal RNA", at positions 82 to 354 of the family's 1533-position model. The record is from RNAcentral.
CCGUUGCCGGCGACCGGCGCACGGGUGAGUAACACGUAUGCAACCUGCCCGUGGCAGGGGGAUAAGCGGGGGAAACCCCGUCUAAUACCGCGUAACGCGGCCUUGGGGCAUCCCAAGGCCGCCAAAGGGAGCAAUCCCGGCCACGGAUGGGCAUGCGGCGCAUUAGCUAGUCGGCGGGGUAACGGCCCACCGAGGCGACGAUGCGUAGGGGUUCUGAGAGGAAGGUCCCCCACACUGGUACUGAGACACGGACCAGACUCCUACGGGAGGCAGCAG